UUUAUUUGGAGAGUUUGAUCCUGGCUCAGGACGAACGCUGGCGGCGUGCCUAAUACAUGCAAGUCGAGCGGACCAAUGAAGAG
This 83-nucleotide ribosomal RNA is filed under the name Aneurinibacillus migulanus. Its description in RNAcentral is "partial 16S ribosomal RNA". It matches the Rfam family "Bacterial small subunit ribosomal RNA", at positions 1 to 81 of the family's 1533-position model. Lineage: Bacteria; Bacillati; Bacillota; Bacilli; Caryophanales; Paenibacillaceae. The record is from RNAcentral.